RNAcentral lists this ribosomal RNA (597 nucleotides) under Aspergillus flavus. RNAcentral's name for it is "eukaryotic LSU rRNA". The stretch from base 214 to 367 matches the Rfam family "5.8S ribosomal RNA". Lineage: Eukaryota; Fungi; Ascomycota; Eurotiomycetes; Eurotiales; Aspergillaceae. The record is from RNAcentral.
UUCCGUAGGUGAACCUGCGGAAGGAUCAUUACCGAGUGUAGGGUUCCUAGCGAGCCCAACCUCCCACCCGUGUUUACUGUACCUUAGUUGCUUCGGCGGGCCCGCCAUUCAUGGCCGCCGGGGGCUCUCAGCCCCCGGCCCGCGCCCGCCGGAGACACCACGAACUCUGUCUGAUCUAGUGAAGUCUGAGUUGAUUGUAUCGCAAUCGGUUAAAACUUUCAACAAUGGAUCUCUUGGUUCCGGCAUCGAUGAAGAACGCAGCGAAAUGCGAUAACUAGUGUGAAUUGCAGAAUUCCGUGAAUCAUCGAGUCUUUGAACGCACAUUGCGCCCCCUGGUAUUCCGGGGGGCAUGCCUGUCCGAGCGUCAUUGCUGCCCAUCAAGCACGGCUUGUGUGUUGGGUCGUCGUCCCCUCUCCGGGGGGGACGGGCCCCAAAGGCAGCGGCGGCACCGCGUCCGAUCCUCGAGCGUAUGGGGCUUUGUCACCCGCUCUGUAGGCCCGGCCGGCGCUUGCCGAACGCAAAUCAAUCUUUUUCCAGGUUGACCUCGGAUCAGGUAGGGAUACCCGCUGAACUUAAGCAUAUCAAUAAGCGGAGGAA